RNAcentral lists this ribosomal RNA (1328 nucleotides) under Symmetrovesicula chaetodontis. Its description in RNAcentral is "partial large subunit ribosomal RNA". It matches the Rfam family "Eukaryotic large subunit ribosomal RNA", at positions 34 to 956 of the family's 3401-position model. The record is from RNAcentral. Lineage: Eukaryota; Metazoa; Platyhelminthes; Trematoda; Strigeidida; Fellodistomidae.
UUAAGCAUAUCACUAAGCGGAGGAAAAGAAACUAACAAGGAUUCCCUUAGUAACGGCGAGUGAACAGGGAAAAGCCCAGCACCGAAGCCUGUGGCCAUUUGGUCUCUAGGCAAUGUGGUGUUCAGGUCGUCUUGCAGAGGCACUGUCUCACUCUAAGUCCAGCAAUGAGAACGGCAACUUGGACUUGGCCCAAAGAGGGUGAAAGGCCCGUGAGGGUGAGAUUCAGGAUGGCCAGUGUCUCUCUGAGUAGACCUUGGAGUCGGGUUGUUUGUGAAUGCAGCCCAAAGUGGGUGGUAAACUCCAUCCAAGGCUAAAUACUAACACGAGUCCGAUAGCAAACAAGUACCGUGAGGGAAAGUUGAAAAGUACUUUGAAGAGAGAGUAAACAGUGCGUGAAACCGCUCAGAGGUAAACGGGUGGAGUUGAACUGCAAUCUUUGAGAAUUUAAUUGGCAAGUAUGGCAUGGGCUUGGGUAUGCUGGUUGGCCUUUGAAGUUUGCUUGACUGCAGACCCUACUUCUCGGAGUGGGUGCAUGUAGCGCUUUUUAAGUGCUGUGUGCUUCAAGGGUACAUCGGACCUGCUUGCUAGUGCACUUUCUCAGAGCAUUCACCACGACCGGUGCUGUCGUCUGUCUUUUGUGGUUAAACCGUGCUUGUAUGGCCCUCGUGGUCUUGCAGGUUCGGGAUGGCAGGUAGCCUGUUUGCGUUUUUGACGCGAUCGGGUGUAAUCAGCUGACCAUGGAAGUACUGUGCGGGGCGCCGGAGAUGUCGGCUUGUGGUGCGUACAUGCGUGCUAUGUUAGUUGGCGGCUUUGGAUUUGGUUGACAUGUUGUCUGUAAACGCAGACCUGGUAAUAAUUCAGAGUCGUACGAUUGACGGUUGCGCGUGGGGCACUUUAAUGGGCCUAUAGUCUGUGGUGUAGUGGUAGACCAUCCACCUGACCCGUCUUGAAACACGGACCAAGGAGAGUAACAUGUGCGCGAGUCAUCGGGCCCUACGAAACCCGAAGGCGCAGUGAAAGUAAAGGUCCGACUUUGUGUGCGGACUAAGGUGAGAUCCUGUCGUUUCUCAUGCGUGGUACUACCAAGCACUCGAGCGGCAGGCGCAUCACCGGCCCGUCCCAUGGCGUAGACACUGUCUUAUGACUGGUGCACCGCCGGGGCGGAGCAUGAGCGUGCAUGUUGAGACCCGAAAGAUGGUGAACUAUGCUUGCGCAGGUUGAAGCCAGAGGAAACUCUGGUGGAAGACCGCAGCGAUUCUGACGUGCAAAUCGAUCGUCAAACGUGAGUAUGGGGGCGAAAGACUAAUCGAACCAUCUAGUAGCUGGUU